RNAcentral lists this ribosomal RNA (225 nucleotides) under uncultured bacterium. Its description in RNAcentral is "partial 16S ribosomal RNA". It matches the Rfam family "Bacterial small subunit ribosomal RNA", at positions 328 to 545 of the family's 1533-position model. The record is from RNAcentral.
ACGCUCGACACCUACGGGGGCAGCAGUAGGGAAUCUUCCACAAUGGACGCAAGUCUGAUGGAGCAACGCCGCGUGAGUGAAGAAGGUUUUCGGAUCGUAAAGCUCUGUUGUUGGUGAAGAAGGAUAGAGGUAGUAACUGGCCUUUAUUUGACGGUAAUCAACCAGAAAGUCACGGCUAACUACGUGCAGCAGCCGCGGUAAUCUGAGGCGGGCGUGGACGAAGGC